Ictalurus punctatus (channel catfish) is the source of this 3429-nucleotide long non-coding RNA. NCBI's taxonomy places the organism in Eukaryota, Metazoa, Chordata, Actinopteri, Siluriformes, Ictaluridae. The record is from Ensembl.
AUUUAUUUGAGGUCUGCAUCCCAGACUCAGAAUGCUGGCUUUCCCAUUAUCAACCCAUUUGGGCUCAGGUUGACUGAGCCCCUACCUAACCCAACAAGCUGAGUUAUAAAAAAAAAUGAACCAGCAAUUUUGGUGUACAUCUGAUAUGCUCAUAUUGCAUGUGCACACAAGUUGAGACCUUUAUCACAGAGUCGCAUAGAAACAGUGACAUGGUAUUUGUCAUAAAGUCACUUCCUCUACUUUUCUCUACUUGCUUUUGUACAUACCCAUGUACUGUACUGUAUGUUCACAGUCUGAGAUUUCUGUCCUUAAAAGCUUUCAUAGAAUCUGUUUUUCUCUCUUUUUUCACUUCUGCCUCCUUCUCCCACCAGAGUAAGUGUAUCCAAUCCAUUUUCUGUCAGAGUGAUGGAUUUGACUUGCUCACUAGAAAUGCUACUUGAUAGCUUAGCUUGUUAGCUUACACACUGCUGUGUCUGAGAUAGACAGACUGUUGUUGUCUUGCUAGUGACUCAUUCCAGCUCAUGCAACUAAGUUACUAGUGCCAACAGGGCUGGAGUGGUCUGUCCCUACAUUGGCCUUACACCAAUGUAGGGACAAUGUUGUCAACCUGAGCUUCUCUGGUUCAUGGUUAGGAGUAGUGUACAUGUACCUCUUGAAUUUGGAAGUGCUUCCAACCAGAAGUGCUCCGGCAGCCAUUUUACAAUUCCCUACCAACAGAGGGCGGCGACCGCCAACGGACGAAAACUGUCAAGAUGACCUGAUGUGCUGCUCUUAACUGCAAAACAACGUUGCUAAAGUAUGUAGCAGAAGUGCCCACAGAUUGUAAUUUAUACAGAUCAUGUACCUAUUAAACACAAAUGCGUCAUUAUCCCCAUGUAUAGUGGGGAUAACGGUCAUAAUCUUUUGCAACAACCGGCUCAUUGGUAUUAUAAAGUCUGGUUGGAGUUCUCAUCACUUGGAAAUCACUUGCUGUUGCUGAGAGUAGCACCACAUGGACAGCCUAAACAUGAGUGAGAUUAGUGAGGAUGGAACUACUUAAAAACCAUGAAGAUGGCUUUCAAACUGAUAUUAACAGUAUUGCUACAAUGAUUUAUGACUACAAUUGCUAUGAUAGCUUUAGGACUGCAAUUGCCAUGAUCAGUUCUGCACUCAUGUCUCAUGGUUAUGAAUUUCCUGCUUACGCUAUUGCACUUUUUGACCAGUACAUAGUUAUAGAAGGAAAUUAUUUAUAAUCGCACUAUCCGUUGUCACUCAGAUGAAGAUGGAUUCCCUUUUGAGUCUGGUUCCUCUCAAGGUUUCUUCUGCAAAAUGUUUCAGGGAGCUUUUCCUUGCCACCAUCACCUCUGGCUUGCUCAUUAGGGAUAAAUUUAUAAAGUAAAUUUUACAUCCUGAAUUUAUAAAUUUCUGUACAGGUGCUUUGUGACAAUGUCCAUUGUUAAAAGUGCUAUACAAAUACAAUUCAAGUGAACUGAAUUGAAUUGACUUGAACUGAAUGUGCACUUCUUGAAUAGUAAGGAGACCAUUGGAAGGGCAGACAUUCACAAAUAUAUUUGUAAAGUAUAGGUUUUUAAACCAUUUAAACACAGGUAAGGUGUCCUUUACAAAAACCUAUGUGCAUGCUUCAGAUAACUAACUUGGGGUUUGGGAUAGAGCCUUGAACAUUUAAAAGUUUUUCAAGGUGCUUGCAACAAAUAAUUCAGGCAAUAAUUUAAUAAUUACAGCAGAGAAAUAAAAGCUCUGUGUAUCCACCAGAUAAUCUAAUUUACAUUUGUCAUGGAUUCUCUGGUCACUCUUUUUUUAUUGCCACAGCCAUUGUAUAAAAAGUGGCACUCGAGUUAAGGGAAGAAACAUACCAAUAAAAAUCAUGUGAAGAGUUCAAGAAGUAUUCAUUAAACAAUUUUUAUUUAUUUAAGUUAUCUGUGAAGAUAACUGCAUACAAAAACAUAAAAGUCCUGAAUGAAAUCAAAACUAAAUAAAACUAUCUUCCUUUCGUCUAUUUAUGUCUUCUAUGUACAUCUAGCUUGAUAAAGUAGUCUAGUUUGACCAAAUAAAUGUCCAUAUUAGAGAGUAGGUAAAAGGCUCACCUGAGUUGCAUGGGAGUGUUAUGCUCUUGCUGUAGCGUAUGUGGUUGUGUGAGUAACUGGCGUGACAAGUGAGUGUUUCUCUGUCUGUCCAGUUCGGCUUGCAGAGCAUCAGUGUACUGUUCAUGCUUCUGGACUCUGGAUGAUGGUGAAGAAACUGAGUUGCUCUGGUCCAUGUGAAGUUCACCUGCUGUGGUCUCAAACCCUGCAGAGAGCAGAGCAGCUCCACACAGGAGACAUUAGUGCUGUUCGUCAGCUGCAGGGUAAGAGAUGGUAGAACUGCAGAGAGGGAGAGAACACUGAAAUCAUGACAUUUCCUCAAGAAACUGUACGAUGUAGUACAGGAUUUAUAAAACAAACAUAAUAUUACAUUUACUGCUAGUAUAGUAAGUGACAGAAAACAUUUUAAGAGCAUGUGAAAAGUAAAAGAAGAUUAUAAUCACCAUUAACUUUAAGCCUCAGGGUUACUGAUCUCUCAUCUGGAGUUGGUGGUAUUAAUCUGAUCAUCAAACAUUUAUAAAGACCAGCAUCACUGCUUUCAACACUCGUUAUAUUCAGCCCUAAAGGUUCUGUAUUUACUUUGAACCGAGGUUUGCAGUUAUGGUCAUGAAUUGCAUUAUUCUGAAUAGAAUAUGUACAUAAAAUUGACCCUCCAUCCUUUUCCCACUUAACUCCAAUCCUCAUAAAGUCAGUGUAGUUGAACAGUAAAGGACAUGGUAGAAAGGCAGUAUCCCCACUAGACACGGUAAUGUCCAAGGCACCUAUAGAAUGAAGGCAUCAAUUAGAAUAGUGCAAAAAAAGUACUGGCAUGAGAAAUGCAUAAGGAAAUUAUAACUGAUUACAGAAAUACCUACUCUCCACCUACUAGGUGUAACAUAUAUGAAGGUUGAGAUGGAUGCAAGUGCAGAUAAGAACUUUAUUAGAUGAGAGAUAGGCAGACAAAUCCAAAUCGAAAGCCAAAAGCACGGUAAUAAACAGCCAAGGCAAGGCACAAAAUGAGAAACAAGAUCAAAAACCAUGAAACGAAAAACGAAGAACAAUGUACAAAGGUUUGGUACGGUGGUAACACUCAAUACUUCAAGAAGUACAUAGAUACACGAGGGGUUUGAAGUCCAGACAUAAUCAGGGGGAUAACAAGAACAGCUGAAUACAAUAAUGGCACGUAAGGGAAACAACCAAUGACAAUACAGGGGCGGAGACAGGACAGAAAUAAUAACAGAUGCACAUGUAGAAAGUAAACAAAGACAGACAAUUGCUGUGUCUGAAACUGGUCCCUAUCUCCUAUAUAGUGCACUAUAUCGAGUGCUGGCCAUUUUGUAGUGGUGUCCAAAUUCCGAAAACACCUUCC